Molecule: ribosomal RNA, 429 nt
Filed under: Chloroflexota bacterium
Lineage: Bacteria; Bacillati; Chloroflexota
Description: Chloroflexi bacterium partial 16S ribosomal RNA
Rfam family: Bacterial small subunit ribosomal RNA
Source: RNAcentral
UGGGGAAUAUUGCACAAUGGGCGCAAGCCUGAUGCAGCCAUGCCGCGUUUAUGAAGAAGUCCUUCGGGUUGUAAAGUACUUUCAGCGGGGAGGAAGGGAGUAAAGUUAAUACCUUUGCUCUUUCACGUUACCCGCAGUAGAAGCACCGGCUAACUCCGUUCCAGCAGCCGCGGUAAUACGGAGGGUGCAAGCGUUAAUCGGUAUUACUUGGCGUAAAGCGCACGCACGCGGUUUGUUAAGUCAGAUGUGAAAUCGCCGGGCUAAAACUGGGAACAGCAUCUGAGACUGGCAAGCUUGAGUCGCGUAGAGGGGGGUAGAAUACCAGGGGUAGCGGUGAAAUGCGUAGAGAUCUGGAGGAAUACAGGUGGCGAAGGCGGCCCCCUGGACGAAGACUGACGCUCAGGUGCGAAAGAGUGGGGAGCAAACAGG